AGUCGAUUUACUUUGAGUCCAUCGUACUUUGACAUUUGACACAUUUCUUAUUAAAGUAAAUAAGUAAAGUGAAUCCAAAGUUAAAACCUUUUUUGUAACUAUUGUUCGGUUGUCAUGGUAACCGUGUUAUCCAUUAACACCUGGGAAGCUGUCGCUUCUAAUUUAUCGACAGCUGAUGUCAAAAGGUUAUCGCAGUUUCACCUUAGGAUAGUAAACUACUGUCUCAGUUCUUGGCCUAUCUUUUACGGAAACAAUCUUUUGGUUUUGUAGAUAGACUGUAUUGACAAUGGGAGGGUGUUCGGAAAGUUAGUGAAGCAGUGAUGAACCGUGAUAGUUACUAAAUUUUACAGUCUUAUUCUGCAUACUAAGUUGGAUUUGAACUAGCGAGAGUACAUUUUUGCUGAGUCGGAACCGAGACUAAAAGUAAACACUUUUUAUGGCAGAACACCGCUUUUUCUUUGGAAAAGGAAAAUGCCGCGUUAUUAAGUGUUGACACAAGGUGGGUGUUUACUAAGGAUGCAGGCAGAUAAAUAGCGCCGGAUCGAGUGGUCUUGACCCAGUCGCCAAGUACCACCAAGUGGGUUAUGUUAACCGUAUUACUGGCAAGUUGUUGUACCAAUACGCAGUCUAAUUAUUCAGUAACGAUUUAUUGGAUUACCCUAUGAUAGAAAUGGUAACAGAUGGACAGAUCACAAUACUUCCGACGAGGAUGAAAAAACUUUGUCUAAGUUGAAAUGAAAUGUGUAAUGGUCUAAUGUCUAUUUGUAAGUAAAUGUUUAGUGUCUAGCAGUCCUAUAAUGUGUAAACUAGCGUACAUGUGAAGUACAUACUCACUCCUACUUUAUUAACUAGUUCUUGAAUAUAAUAUCUUACUGAGUUUUCCCCUUGUGUAUGAUAUUGUCUGCAUUUUUAAUGUUAUGAUCGUUUUAGGCUUCACGCAUGGUUAACAACGAGUGGGAUUGUUACUCAAUCGUCAAGUCAGAAAGAGAUCUUACUGAUGACCGUUCAAUAAAACUGAUAAUCGAUAUCCACGUCAGUUUUUAGAAUCAAGAAGAGUUGCUCUGAUGUAUUCUGCGUUAUGUACAAGAUACACGAUAUUUUUAUGUAGCCUGCGUUCUGAAAUCAAAAGUACUCGCGAAAUAAGCGACUUUAGCACAAGUUGCGUGUGGUCUGCACGCAUGUAACCCCGGACAGACAAUUGCUUGCUAUUUGCUUAGUUUGUUAACAAUGAAAAUUACAUAGAUGUUAACGGUCUCGCUCACGUACGCUACAUGAGUCAAACGAUAUAAACUCAGUAAUAACCAGACGGACCAUAGCCACACAAUCGAGAACUUAUCGAUUCAUCGUUUGUCCUGCGUCGCGUGCCAAACCAAUGCUAUUCGCGAAGGCAUACGAUUAAUUUAUUUAUUGAAAUCAAUACUAAUAUCUGCCAAGACAAUGGCCCCAAAUGAAAAUGCGUACACACAUAUGGCAUGUCGGAAUGCUAAACGGAGCGGCGUCAUUUAUUCAAUACGCCAUUUUGCAUUCGAUUUUGAGGUUAUUAGAUGCAAUCGGAAUGCGUGCGGCCAUAUUGAUUUGGUUCGUCUAUAUUCGGUCGUCUUCGGCUCCCGUCGGCAGUUUAUGGCGACAAUUGACGUAUGUAAUGGCGGUGUCAUAGAUUUCUUGGAAGAUAAAAGCUAAUUACAUUCAUAGGGAAAUUGUAUUGAAAGAAUGCCGAAAUGUAUCGCCGUAUUAGGGUGGUUUUAUGGUUGUUUUUUAUAUGUUGGCUAGUGUCAUUCGCUCAUCGCUUAUUUAUAAAUACAAAUAUAAACAUUUGGUGGGUAUAAUAUAUGCGUCAUAUAUUUUUAAUCGUGUAGUUUAGAAUUGUUUAGCGGACUGAUAUAUUUUACAAGUGUGCGCAGGUGUAGAGAAGGCGAUAUUUUAUAAAUAUGUAAGUAUAUUCAUUAGGCGCCUUGUGUGCGGGUAGUCAGGAACUAUUAAUGAGGUAAUAACUGGCAGCAGUCACGAUGGACAUCGCCUUGUCUCUUGCGGCGACAGACUGUUCUGGGCAUGUCACAUAAAUCGAACGUAACAGAGCUCACGUAAAUAAAAAUACAUGAUAAAGCAUAAUACUAUCGUGAUGGAACUAAUUUUGAUAGCUCUGAUAAACUUUAAUAGGAAUCUUGUUUGAAAAACUUGUACAAAAAGGAUGAAAAAGUUUUACGUAAAAGAAUGAAUUUCUUAAAAUUAUGAAACUCAUUCUUAGUGACAGUCCAAACUAAGAGUUGUAUUAGGCUGUAUAUUGCUGUAACCAAUUAGACUAUAGGUACGACAUUUUUUUUGAAUUGCCACUUGACUUUGCAUAACCCUUUCACUUAUAACCUCUAAGAGAAAUCUAAAGCAAUAACAAAUCGAACAGAAUAUUCCUCUACAGCUUCUUGAAUCAUGAUAAAUACUUUCUGCUCGCGAUGACUUUAAAAGGAGUCAUAUUUUCUUUAGAAGUUCGUAAUGGCCCUGAAAGUAGGUACGUACUUACAGACAGUUUCAACAAAACAUUUUAUGCAUCAUCCAUUGCCUUUACGAUACACAUUAAGUUUUGUUUCAAAAUAUGUUACUGUUUAACUCAAAACAAAUAACUUUAGCGAUUAAUGUUUAAGACAGUCGCUCACGACUUUUUAUUUCAAUUUAGACACAUAUUUUGUACAUCUACCACUUUCCUAUCUGUUAGAACAUUUUAAUCACUGGAUGUGGUUACGAAUAGAUUUUCACUUGCUAUUUCCUUGCUAAUCAUUUAUUUACCUACCUAUUCUGAUUUCGUAAGGAAUGGAAUGAAUUGUCCAUCAUGUCACUAAAUGAUUCUUGCCAGUUUUGCUCCUGAUAUAUCUUUAAGAGUUUUUUCUUAUCAUAAGCUUGAUAAAUCGCCUUUGGGCCUCCGUCGCAUAAGAAUUCGAAAAGCUUUGCUUUCAGACCUAUUACUUAUCAGUUCAACCAAAUUACUUAGCCAACACUAAGUAUUUUUUAUAAUCUGGCAUUUCAAGUACGGUUUUCCUAAUUUUACUGCUCAAAUGUCCACCACUAACCAGUUCCUAUUCGCUCUCUUGCAGUACCUACUGCUAUUACCAUCACUGGCCACCAGUUUGUAAUGAAUAUUAUUAUGGAUUACUAUUGGCUUACUACUAUUCGUUUCAAACUUGGCAGUGAGUUUGGCACGCCACACAGGUUGAUAAAACUUAUGCUGUUAGCUAUUAUGUCAUUAAUUUAAAUAUUAUUCAAGGUGGUCACAAGGAUUUCUUCAACGACAUUAUCAGUGUGACAAUAUACAAAAUGUCGCCCUCAGGUGUCACUAGUAUUGUCACUGAGAAAUGGAGUGGAGAUACAAUUUGAUAUUUUGGAUCACCACCUACUUAAGUAUCAUUCUGACAAAAUUAUUUUAAGACUCACACUAAAUAUGGUACCUUUAAUCAUCGUAGACAAUUAGUGACAAUCUUAUUUAUGGUUAUCUUAUCUACGUUGAUAGAAAAAGUUCUUAUGAUGGUGGAAAUGUAUCUGCUGAAAACAUACCAACCUUUCCGGGGUGCUAUACCCAAAGGAUAAAACUAGAACCCUAUUGCUCCGUGUUCAAUGUCUAUCCUCUUGUCCGUACGUCCGUCACUAUACAGUAUCUCAAGAACCAUAGCUAGAUAGUUCAAAUGUGGACCGAUCUUGUAUUUACGUUACUGCUAUAACGACAAAUACUGAAACAUGUUAUCCGCGUUAACUUAUCAUUAGUAAGGUCAUCAAAUCUUGAUAGGCGACCAAAUUUUUGUCGGAAAUUUAUCUUUAAUUGUACUAUACUCUUACGCACUUGAUCGGUCGUUUUGUAAACCUUUUUACUUUAAAACAGCUCACUUGCUAUCGAAUCCAAGUAGCAGUACAAUUAAAUAUAAUAUGGCUAGGUCGGUUGUAUUAACAUUGCACGUCUUACCUACAGCACUGCACGUGACUCAUGUCCGGUGCGCUGCGUAGUGUUGAGACGAUGCGACAGGAUUUUCCUCCUGAUUUUUAUUGUUUCCUGGUACCUCCUUGCUUUAUUAAUGCAUUUUUGUUGGUAAAUUACUUAAUAUCGGAAACUGUUAACGGUUUUUUAGAGGAACUAGUCUUCCCAGAAAAUGUUGUUUUGUCAUACAGAUGAGAUCAGGGAAUAAAAAAAUGGGGUUUGAAAAAUAAAUGUUGUCCGGUCACACCUACCCAAUAUUCACACAAAAUUCCAUGAGAAUCGGUCGAGCCGUUUCGGAAGAAUUCAAUUCCGUACACCUU
This is a long non-coding RNA of Trichoplusia ni (cabbage looper), 4275 nucleotides long. RefSeq lists it as uncharacterized. NCBI's taxonomy places the organism in Eukaryota, Metazoa, Arthropoda, Insecta, Lepidoptera, Noctuidae. The record is from RefSeq and is a predicted model, not a curated record. The transcript is spliced from 3 exons.